AUUGAACGCUGGCGGCAGGCCUAACACAUGCAAGUCGAGCGGACUGAGGUAGCUUGCUACCAAGGUUAGCGGCGGACGGGUGAGUAACGCGUAGGAAUCUACCUGGUAAUGGGGGAUAACGUUCCGAAAGGAACGCUAAUACCGCAUACGCCCUAAGGGGGAAAGUGGGGGACCUUCGGGCCUCACGUUAUCAGAUGAGCCUGCGUAGGAUUAGCUAGUUGGUAGGGUAAAGGCCUACCAAGGCGACGAUCCUUAACUGGUCUGAGAGGAUGAUCAGUCACACUGGAACUGAGACACGGUCCAGACUCCUACGGGAGGCAGCAGUGGGGAAUAUUGGACAAUGGGGGCAACCCUGAUCCAGCCAUGCCGCGUGUGUGAAGAAGGCCUUCGGGUUGUAAAGCACUUUCGGUCAGAAAGAAGGGUGUCAAAUUAAUACUUUGGCAUUUUGACGGUACUGACAUAAGAAGCACCGGCUAACUCCGUGCCAGCCGCCGCGGUAA
RNAcentral lists this ribosomal RNA (500 nucleotides) under uncultured bacterium. RNAcentral describes it as "partial 16S ribosomal RNA". It matches the Rfam family "Bacterial small subunit ribosomal RNA", at positions 30 to 523 of the family's 1533-position model. The record is from RNAcentral.